Zophobas morio is the source of this 424-nucleotide long non-coding RNA. RefSeq lists it as uncharacterized. The record is from RefSeq and is a predicted model, not a curated record. The transcript is spliced from 5 exons. Lineage: Eukaryota; Metazoa; Arthropoda; Insecta; Coleoptera; Tenebrionidae.
GAAAUCUACACUGAGAAUAUUAUAAAGACUUUUCUUCCUCUUUAUCUUAGCAAGUUAAAAGCAGUGAAUAGUGAUGAGGAAAGAAGUUUUCUAUUGCUGGAUGUUGUCAGUUUGCUCAAAGUUGACGGCUCUUCGCUUAAAACUGAAACAAUUCAGCUGGGUAUUUUAUAUGAACUUUCUGAUACUGUUUGCGGGUUUGUUGCGAAUAAGCACAUUCCUGAGCUGCGCCGCGUGGCUGUUUCGGGCCUUUUUUUGCUAAAUUCACUCACUUUAUCAAGAAAAGAAAAGGCUGCAGAGGUUUUACGCUUUAAACUUUUCAAUGUAAUUCUGGAGGCUGAUGAAUUUAUAAAAGAAGUUACUCAACAAGAACUCAAACUGAAUGUUUAUAAACUUGAACCCCUUUUUUAUGAACUAGCAUCACAUC